UACAGAGGGGGCAAGCGUUGUUCGGAAUUACUGGGCGUAAAGAGCUCGUAGGCGGUUUGUCACGUCUGCUGUGAAAUCCCGAGGCUCAACCUCGGGCCUGCAGUGGGUACGGGCAGACUGGAGUGCGGUAGGGGAGAAUGGAAUUCCUGGUGUAGCGGUGGAAUGCGCAGAUAUCAGGAGGAACACCGAUGGCGAAGGCAGUUCUCUGGGCCGUAACUGACGCUGAGGAGCGAAAGCGUGGGGAGCGAACAGG
This 253-nucleotide ribosomal RNA is filed under the name uncultured bacterium. RNAcentral's name for it is "partial 16S ribosomal RNA". It matches the Rfam family "Bacterial small subunit ribosomal RNA", at positions 524 to 776 of the family's 1533-position model. The record is from RNAcentral.